RNAcentral lists this ribosomal RNA (208 nucleotides) under uncultured delta proteobacterium. RNAcentral's name for it is "partial 16S ribosomal RNA". It matches the Rfam family "Bacterial small subunit ribosomal RNA", at positions 568 to 775 of the family's 1533-position model. The record is from RNAcentral. Lineage: Bacteria; Deltaproteobacteria.
CGCGUAGGCGGUCUCUUAAGUCAGAUGUGAAAGCCCUCGGCUUAACCGAGGAAGUGCAUUUGAUACUAAGUGACUUGAGUAUGGGAGAGGGAAGCGGAAUUCCUGGUGUAGCGGUGAAAUGCGUAGAUAUCAGGAGGAACACCGGUGGCGAAGGCGGCUUCCUGGACCAAUACUGACGCUGAGGCGCGAAGGCGUGGGGAGCAAACAG